GUUUCCUGUCAAAAGGAUGAGAGUUAUUGAUUGCCAUUUAUUUAGCCAGCCCCACAAAACUAACAACUUUGAUUAGGCAUUUACGAGUUGCAUUCUGAGGUGGGAAGGAGGAGAGGAAUCUAUUACUGCGCAUAUGCAGGAGAAAUUCAGUUGAAAAAUUAAUUAGUGGCGUAGAAAAGUCGACCAUUAUAUUUUGAAGACUUCAAUUACGAUGUUUGAAGUAAACGGAGGAUUUGGUGGCCAACCACCUAAUCACGUCGAAAAGCGGACGCAUAGGAUCGAAUUCAAGGGAGAACCACUAACCUUGACAACAGCAUCGGACAUCUUAUCGUUGUAGCUGUAUACCUCGUUGAGGAAGUGCAGCUCCUUGAAGUACCACAGCGUACUGAUGUUGGUCUUCUCCAGGGCCAUGCGAUUGCACUCCCGCUUGUAUACCGUGCGCAGGUUGUCCCACUUGCGGGUGAUGGCGUCCUUGGCCAGCGAGAUGUUAAACCGGCUCUUGAACUCCAGCACAAUCCAGUCGAGGAAGCGGGCGCGCUUAACGCGAUCCCGGAACUGUGCAUUGCCGUGGUCCCACAGAAAGGGGUUGCGCUGAUACGAAUGGAUGAGAAACUGGAUCAUCUUGCGGUCCUUGAUGUGCAUCGUAACCUCCCGGUCGCGCUAAGGGGUGGGAAAAUGAUAAAAUCAUUACAAAUAGGUAUAUAUGGAAAUGAGUGAAAAUUAAGGGUGAAAUAAAUGAAGCUUUUAAAUCGAUGGGCGAAAAUUUGGCCCAAAAUAUA
Long non-coding RNA from Drosophila simulans, 779 nucleotides. RefSeq lists it as uncharacterized. The transcript is spliced from 2 exons. The record is from RefSeq and is a predicted model, not a curated record. NCBI's taxonomy places the organism in Eukaryota, Metazoa, Arthropoda, Insecta, Diptera, Drosophilidae.